GACGAACGCUGGCGGCGUGCUUAACACAUGCAAGUCGAACGGAAAGGCCCUGCUUUUGUGGGGUGCUCGAGUGGCGAACGGGUGAGUAACACGUGAGUAACCUGCCCUUGACUUUGGGAUAACUUCAGGAAACUGGGGCUAAUACCGGAUAGGAGCUCCUGCUGCAUGGUGGGGGUUGGAAAGUUUCGGCGGUUGGUGAUGGACUCGCGGCUUAUCAGCUUGUUUGUGGGGUAGUGGCUUACCAAGGCUUUGACGGGUAGCCGGCCUGAGAGGGUGACCGGGCAAAUUGGGAAUGAGAUACGGCCCAGAAGCCAACGGGAGGCAGCAGUGGGGAAUAUUGCACAAUGGGCGGAAGCCUGAUGCAGAAACGCCGCGUGCGGGAUGACGGCCUUCGGGUUGUAAACAGAUUUCGAAUGUGACGAAGCGUGAGUGACGGUAAUGGGUAAAGAAGCACCGGCUAACUACGUG
Molecule: ribosomal RNA, 468 nt
Filed under: uncultured bacterium
Lineage: Bacteria
Description: partial 16S ribosomal RNA
Rfam family: Bacterial small subunit ribosomal RNA
Source: RNAcentral